UGAUGUCACUGGAAAUACCCGCCA
RNAcentral lists this non-coding RNA (24 nucleotides) under Mus musculus (house mouse). Lineage: Eukaryota; Metazoa; Chordata; Mammalia; Rodentia; Muridae. The record is from RNAcentral.